Molecule: unclassified non-coding RNA, 345 nt
Filed under: soil metagenome
Description: partial contains 5.8S ribosomal RNA, internal transcribed spacer 2, and large subunit ribosomal RNA
Rfam family: 5.8S ribosomal RNA (bases 1-118)
Source: RNAcentral
GAUGAAGAACGCAGCGAAAUGCGAUACGUAAUGUGAAUUGCAAAUUCAGUGAAUCAUCGAGUCUUUGAACGCACAUUGCGCCCCCUGUAUUCCGGGGGGCAUGCCUGUCCGAGCGUCAUUGCUGCCCUCAAGCACGGCUUGUGUGUUGGGCCCCGUCCUCCGAUCCCGGGGGACGGGCCCGAAAGGCAGCGGCGGCACCGCGUCCGGUCCUCGAGCGUAUGGGGCUUUGUCACCCGCUCUGUAGGCCCGGCCGGCGCUUGCCGAUCAACCCAAAUUUUUUAUCCAGGUUGACCUCGGAUCAGGUAGGGAUACCCGCUGAACUUAAGCAUAUCAAUAAGCGGAGGA